This 99-nucleotide ribosomal RNA is filed under the name uncultured bacterium. Its description in RNAcentral is "partial 16S ribosomal RNA". The record is from RNAcentral.
GCCUUCGGGUUGUAAACCCCUUUCGCCCGGGACGAAGGGGCCGGGACCUAAACUCCAGAGGAAGGGCCGUCCCCUACAGGGCACCCGGCGGUAUAUUAG